This 87-nucleotide transfer RNA is filed under the name Trichosporon asahii var. asahii CBS 2479. RNAcentral's name for it is "tRNA-Ala". It matches the Rfam family "tRNA". Rfam says of the family: Transfer RNA (tRNA) molecules are approximately 80 nucleotides in length. Their secondary structure includes four short double-helical elements and three loops (D, anti-codon, and T loops). Lineage: Eukaryota; Fungi; Basidiomycota; Tremellomycetes; Trichosporonales; Trichosporonaceae. The record is from RNAcentral. RNAcentral also lists the same sequence under 1 other name.
GGGGAAUUCGUCUAGUGGUAAGACGCGGACUUCGCAACUUUGACUUGCUGAUUGUCUGAAACCGGUGUUCGAUUCACCGAUUCUCCA